Molecule: long non-coding RNA, 1205 nt
Organism: Dromaius novaehollandiae (emu)
Lineage: Eukaryota; Metazoa; Chordata; Aves; Casuariiformes; Dromaiidae
Exons: 2
Source: RefSeq, a predicted model, not a curated record
CAUGACUUCCUGAGAACUGUUCUGAGCAUGCAGUGUUGCAGGUCACGACUGCCUGGGCAGCAAUCCUCAACUUGUCUGCCAAGACUACACAACAGCUCACAGCUGCCUGUGCAAUGAAAGCAAAGGCCAGCUUCUCAGAGGGAAGAGGCAGGCUCCAAGCAGGAAGAUUAUGGCAGGCUUAAAGAUCAUAUCAUAACAAGAGACACCUGAUACCAAGCUCUGAUUCACACAGCAAGUUCUCCUAACAAGUUGGCAACAGGUCCAGUAGGCCAGGACUGGGGCCUCGCAAGUCAGCAUUGAGUCCUGUGGCCUCUUGCCAGCAGUGGCAAUACUGUUUUUCCUGGGCUGCUGGGUGACGCUGUUACGGCGUGGUUUGUCUUGCUUCUGCGUGGUGGUGAAGGCCACGGAGCUGAGCUGGGCUGCCUGUCCCAGACAUGUUUGGCAUGGACACUUCAUCUGAGGUUUUCAUUGUUACUCAGGAGAGCAGAGUGCUGAAAUGUAAUUCAGUUGAAGGACAUACAACUUUUUAUAUCUGAAGCAUUUGCAGGAGGAAACAUUUAGAGAUAACGGCAGCCAAUUUUAUGGUUUACCAGCAGGACCAAUGUUGUCCCUGCAGCCAGAGUGCUUGGGAGCCCAGGAGUUUUUGACUUGGUACUUUACAGGAGGCUUUACACUAUUCAAUGGCUUUUGCACUAUUUAAUCGAAUAUAAUUGUAUUUGUGAGUUAAAAGUAGUGGAAUCUGGUCAUUUUUGACAUUAGUUAUCUUUUGAAAAGCACAACUGGAGGGAAUCUUAUAACAAAGAGCAACUGUCCCUUAAAUUUCAAUGUAUUUAUGAAACAUUUUUUCUCCGGCAGUCUCUCAAAUAACUCAGUGAAGCAGGCUUAACACUGCCAUAAUGAUAUGCUACUUGUAAUACAUGUGAAAUAUGUAAUUGCUUUGAAAGAGUGUUAAGCUUUGAAAAUGUGUUAAGUUUUGAAAGAGACUUAGGCUCAGAAGUUGAUAUGUGACUAGAAUUUGCUUUUAAAACUCAUUCUUUAAUGUAAAUUCUACCAUUUAACUUAUAGUUCAUGUCAUGAACAUGGUGAACACAUGAUGAAUGGAUCACUUAAUUAUUAAGAUGGUUGGUAUAGGCCUCAGGCAAAGUAUUUAAAGCAUUUUUAUAACAUGCUGCUCUAAAGAUUACAAUAAACCUUAGUAAAAAUAA